AAGAAUUUAGUUAAACUCAUAACAUUAGUUUGUCGUACUAAAAUUAUUAAAAUUAUUGAUAUUUCUUA
This 68-nucleotide transfer RNA is filed under the name Aleocharinae sp. 5 EF-2015. Its description in RNAcentral is "tRNA-Asp". The record is from RNAcentral. Lineage: Eukaryota; Metazoa; Arthropoda; Insecta; Coleoptera; Staphylinidae.